RNAcentral lists this unclassified non-coding RNA (1840 nucleotides) under uncultured fungus. RNAcentral describes it as "sequence contains 18S rRNA gene, ITS1, 5.8S rRNA gene, ITS2, 28S rRNA gene". The record is from RNAcentral. Lineage: Eukaryota; Fungi.
AUCAGACGAACAUCGUCGGCUGCACAUCAGCUACUGCGGCGGCGGCGGCGUGGUCUGCCGCGGCGGCGAAGUGCGCAACGUGCACAUCGGCACGUGCGACAUUGAAAGCUGCAUGACGCCUGACGGGCCGGCGACGGCGAACGUGUUGAUCGAUUGCACCGGCGGCUCGACGGCGGAGGUCGCAAUCACCGGCUGCACGAUCCAGCACAACAGCAAGUCACCGGAUUCCGCGAACAUUCGCAUCUUGGGGCGGGGCGCGGCAUCAAGCCGGAUACGCAAGGCCAGUGGGGGCAUGUGACCAUUGGCGACAACGUGCUCUCCGAUGUGCGCGUGAACGUCGAUUUGGUCGAUUGCCGCGGCGUGACGCUCACCAACAACACGUUCUGGAUGGGUUAUGACUACAACCUGCGAAUGCAAGGCUGCCAGCAGGUCGUCGUCGGCCCGAACCUGUUCGAGCGCAAUCCAGCGUAUGACUAUGGCGACAGCACGACGACGAAGAAUGCGCUGCGGUUGACGAACUGCAAAGACGUCACGCUGACCGGCUUGCACAUACAAGGCGUGCGCGGCGCGGAAGCGGCGCUGGUGCUCGAUCGCUGCGAGCGGCUGCAUUUGUUUGGCGCAACAAUACUCGAUUGCGAACCAACGGGCCGUGCUACUGAAGGACUCGACGCGCUGCCGGAUUGUCGAUUGCUACGUCGCAGCGGGGGGACAAAGUCCUGCCGCUGAAGGAGAGUAUUCGCGUUGUUGGCGGGGCGGAGAACGAGAUUAGCGAAUGAUCGCCAAGCGGAACUUUUCGGAUCGAUGCGCGUCUAACGGGGUGGCAUGUAAGUAGCGGUGGCUUCCAGCCGCCGUGCGGUGGCUAGAAGCCCCCGCUACGAAUUCUCGCUAACCAACAUGGAGCUUGAUCAUGAUCCGCCUCGCACUUCUUGCGUCCCUGGCUUUCACGUCAUUAACCUCCGCGGCUUACGCCUGCAGUUGCGCGGAGCCGCCGUCCCCGCAGAAAUCGCUGGAAAGCGCCGCCGCGGUCUUCAGCGGCAAGGUGACGAAGGUUGAGCCCGUCGGCAAGUUUGAAAAGGAGGUCACGCUGGAGGUCGUCGCGACCUGGAAGGGGGUCGCCAAGGACAAGAAGGAAGUCGUGAUCCGCACCGCUAUCGACGGCGGCGCCUGCGGCUACGAGUUCGAGAAGGGGAAGGUGUACUUCAUCUACGCCUACGCCGUGAAGACCGAGGAAGAGAAGUAUCUCGAAACGAAUAUCUGCACGCGCACCACGACCAUCGAAGGGGCGGCGGGCGAUAUCAAGGAACUGGGCGAAGGAACAAAGCGCGGCAAGUGAGCUGCGACUAUAGCCCCAACAGCAGCCGAUCGCGCAGUGUAAGUGCGAUGCCGGCCGCGCGCAGGUAGGCGGCCACAAGUCGCGUCUUCGUCGGUCGGGCGGCGCAAUUGGUGCGCAGAUAGUCCUCGAUCAACAGCCGCCAAUUGCCGCGGCACCAGUUGGCCGUCACGACCGUAAUCGACACGUCCGGCAUCGCGGUCGUGUGCCACCAGCCGUUGGGGCAGAACAGCGUCUCGCCCGGCUGCAGCCGGAAGCGAAUCGGUUUCGCCCGCGCCAAGAGCGGAUAGCGGACGAGAUCGGGCUCAUCGAAGUCUUCAAUGGGGCAAAUCAAGGGAUUCUCCGCCGUGGGAUAAAGAAACGGCGUUUGAUCCGGCGCAAAGAGCAGCACUUCCUUCUCGCCAUAAAGCUGCGAGAGGAACGCAUCCAUGCCCCAAUAAUCGACGUGCAGCCCAGGGAAUUUCGCUCCCGCGCCGCCGAUGAACAUUUCCUCCAGCCCGUUGUCAAAGC